CUGUGCUGCCAUUUGCAAAUAUAGAUCCCGUUCUGCUGCCUGCGGGAAACGUCAGCAUGGCAUUUUCGGCUGAGACUCACAGCACAGACAUCCCCAGCCUGAGGUUCUGUCUCAGAAGCAGGGCCUUUCUUUCCAGCAUCCACCAAAGUGAUGACACAUCCGUGUGUUCAGCAAACUGGAGUUGGAAGGGACCCCUGACUUCCUCACGCAAGCCCCAGAGGACAGCAUCGAAGACACGUGUCCCAAGAAGACGGUUCUAGGUAAGAAGCUGAACUUGAACCCCUGAGACCUGCACUGGAGGCCAGCGCAUCAAUAGCUAGGACGCUCCGUGUCCAGCACAUGAGAAGCCUCCAGUCAGUGUCCCUUCUUCUGAAUCCAUCUACCAUCUCAGAAAGAUGCCACCAUCAAUA
Long non-coding RNA from Canis lupus familiaris (dog), 410 nucleotides. RefSeq lists it as uncharacterized. Lineage: Eukaryota; Metazoa; Chordata; Mammalia; Carnivora; Canidae. The transcript has 3 exons. The record is from RefSeq and is a predicted model, not a curated record.